UACGGAGGGGGCUAGCGUUGUUCGGAAUUACUGGGCGUAAAGCGCGCGUAGGCGGACCUGCAAGUCGGGGGUGAAAGCCCGAGGCUCAACCUCGGAACUGCCUUCGAUACUGCGGGUCUCGAGUCCGGGAGAGGUGAGUGGAAUUCCUAGUGUAGAGGUGAAAUUCGUAGAUAUUAGGAAGAACACCAGUGGCGAAGGCGGCUUGCCAGAACGCGCUCGACGGUGAGGGAUGAAAGCUGGGGGAGCAAACCGG
This 253-nucleotide ribosomal RNA is filed under the name uncultured bacterium. RNAcentral's name for it is "partial 16S ribosomal RNA". It matches the Rfam family "Bacterial small subunit ribosomal RNA", at positions 524 to 776 of the family's 1533-position model. The record is from RNAcentral.